GACGAACGCUGGCGGCGUGCUUAACACAUGCAAGUCGAACGGAAAGGCCCUGCUGUUGUGGGGUGCUCGAGUGGCGAACGGGUGAGUAACACGUGAGUAACCUGCCCUUGACUUUGGGAUAACUUCAGGAAACUGGGGCUAAUACCGGAUAGGAGCUCCUGCUGCAUGGUGGGGGUUGGAAAGUUUCGGCGGUUGGGGAUGGACUCGCGGCGUAUCAGCUUGUUGGUGGGGUAGUGGCUUACCAAGGCUUUGACGGGUAGCCGGCCUGAGAGGGUGACCGGCCACAUUGGGACUGAGAUACGGCCCAGACUCCUACGCGAGGCAACAGUGGGGAAUAGUGCACAGUGGGAGGAAGCCUGAUGCAGCACCGCCGCGUGCGGGAUGACGGCCUUCGGUUUGUAAACCGCUUUCGCCUGUGACGAAGCGUGAGUGACGGUAAUGGGUAAAGAAGCACCGGCUAACUACGUG
RNAcentral lists this ribosomal RNA (468 nucleotides) under uncultured bacterium. RNAcentral's name for it is "partial 16S ribosomal RNA". It matches the Rfam family "Bacterial small subunit ribosomal RNA", at positions 28 to 507 of the family's 1533-position model. The record is from RNAcentral.